This 253-nucleotide ribosomal RNA is filed under the name uncultured bacterium. RNAcentral describes it as "partial 16S ribosomal RNA". It matches the Rfam family "Bacterial small subunit ribosomal RNA", at positions 524 to 776 of the family's 1533-position model. The record is from RNAcentral.
GACAGAGGGUGCAAACGUUGUUCGGAAUUACUGGGCGUAAAGCGCGUGUAGGCGGCUCGGAAAGUCGGAUGUGAAAGCCCUGGGCUUAACCUAGGAAGUGCAUUCGAAACUCCCGAGCUUGAGUUCUGGAGAGGAAGGCGGAAUUCUCGGUGUAGAGGUGAAAUUCGUAGAUAUCGAGAGGAACACCAGUGGCGAAGGCGGCUCACUGGCUCGAUACUGACGCUGAGGUGCGAAAGCGUGGGGAGCAAACAGG